Rosa rugosa (rugosa rose) is the source of this 806-nucleotide long non-coding RNA. RefSeq lists it as uncharacterized. The record is from RefSeq and is a predicted model, not a curated record. The transcript is spliced from 5 exons. Lineage: Eukaryota; Viridiplantae; Streptophyta; Magnoliopsida; Rosales; Rosaceae.
AGAUUUCCCUUCGAAGCCCUAAAGGAGAUUUCUCUGUGAAUCCGUGGAUUCACAUCGUAGCAGCCUUAGACUUGGAUUCACACAGGAGCCCUAAAAAAUUUCGUCAUCUCGAACUUCGAUUCACGCCUUUGAUUCGAUUUGUCUCGAACUUGGGUUCUGAUAUUCAUAAGCAGAUCUUAAAAUUGUGCACUCUAGUCACCGGAGUUUAACAGAGACUCGGAUCUCCAUCUCCGACCAUGGAUUCCGAGCCUUUCGAGAGAGAAAAGAACGUGACUUUUCUGGGGAUGAUGUACCGGCUCCUCCCACACCAAUCCGAAAAAGCUUCAUCAUCAUCUUCUUCUUCUUCCUUUGAAGGUCCUCGUUCUACUGAGGGCCUCUCUGCCGCUUUGUCCGAUCAGUCUCGUAUUAUAGUCGCCAGACCUGUUAGAGGAGUGGUGUCCCUGUGGACAUGCUCAAAGUUCUGUGCAAUUGCCUUUGUUGCUGGGAUCAUUGUUGGCUAUACCCUGAAGCGACGCGUUAAACGCUGGGCUAACAAGCUUCUCAAGAGGAUCAAAGACGAUUGAUUGCACCUAGGUUGAGUUAAGUUAUCGCAUUCAAUAGAUUGUCGUCAAUAGAUGAGUGAUUCUCUAACAUUAGUUGUGUAAAGGGUGCAUUUUUGAGGAGUUUUCAGCUUCUGUGGUGACAAAUGCAUCUCACCUUAUCAACAGAUAUUGUUAUCCUUUUUAAACUACUAUGUUUUUUGUUGGUGGAAACUGGAAGUGUAAUGGCACAAAAGACUCAAUCAGCAAGCUAGUGUCAGACUUAAA